Molecule: ribosomal RNA, 256 nt
Filed under: uncultured bacterium
Lineage: Bacteria
Description: partial 16S ribosomal RNA
Rfam family: Bacterial small subunit ribosomal RNA
Source: RNAcentral
UACGAAGGGGGCUAGCGUUGUUCGGAAUUACUGGGCGUAAAGCGCGUGUAGGCGGGUCUUUUAAGUCAGGGGUGAAAUGCCCAAGGCUCAACCUUGGAACUGCCUUUGAUACUGGAAGUCUUGAGUAUGGAAGAGGUAAGUGGAAUUGCGAGUGUAGAGGUGAAAUUCGUAGAUAUUCGCAGGAACACCAGUGGCGAAGGCGGCUUACUGGUCCAUUACUGACGCUGAGGUGCGAAAAGCGUGGGGAGCAAACAGG